RNAcentral lists this ribosomal RNA (800 nucleotides) under uncultured Acidobacteriaceae bacterium. Its description in RNAcentral is "bacterial SSU rRNA". It matches the Rfam family "Bacterial small subunit ribosomal RNA", at positions 58 to 889 of the family's 1533-position model. The record is from RNAcentral. Lineage: Bacteria; Pseudomonadati; Acidobacteriota; Terriglobia; Terriglobales; Acidobacteriaceae.
CAAGUCGAACGAGAAAGUGGAGCAAUCCAUGAGUAAAGUGGCGCACGGGUGAGUAACACGUGACUAACCUACCCUGGAGUGGGGGAUAACUGAGGGAAACCUUAGCUAAUACCGCAUAACACCUACGGGUCAAAGGAGCAAUCCGCUUCAGGAGGGGGUCGCGGCCGAUUAGUUAGUUGGCAGGGUAAUGGCCUACCAAGACGAUGAUCGGUAUCCGGCCUGAGAGGGCGCACGGACACACUGGAACUGAAACACGGUCCAGACUCCUACGGGAGGCAGCAGUGGGGAAUUUUGCGCAAUGGGGGAAACCCUGACGCAGCAACGCCGCGUGGAGGAUGAAGUCCUUCGGGACGUAAACUCCUUUCGAUCGGGACGAUUAUGACGGUACCGGAAGAAGAAGCCCCGGCUAACUUCGUGCCAGCAGCCGCGGUAAUACGAGGGGGGCGAGCGUUGUUCGGAAUUAUUGGGCGUAAAGGGUGCGUAGGCGGUUUGGUAAGUCUUAUGUGAAAUCUACAGGCUCAACUUGUAGUCUGCAUGAGAAACUGCCGGGCUUGAGUAUGGGAGAGGUGAGUGGAAUUCCUGGUGUAGCGGUGAAAUGCGUAGAUAUCAGGAGGAACACCUGUGGCGAAAGCGGCUCACUGGACCAUAACUGACGCUGAUGCACGAAAGCUAGGGGAGCAAACAGGAUUAGAUACCCUGGUUAGUCCUAGCCCUAAACGAUGACUGCUUGGUGUGACGGGUACCCAAUCCCGCCGUGCCGUAGCUAACGCGUUAGCAGUCCGCCUGGGGAGUACGGUCGC